UUUGGAACGAGUUGGAGAAAUAGUUGUCGGCGGUUCGCAAGACAUGAAGAUAAAUCUUUGCACUUCGAUGUAUUAGUAAGAACUUUUGCUUGCUCACUGUCAGAACUUUCUGAGAAUUUUUCCGAAAAAAUGUAACUAUUUCUCGCUCAUUUUUAUUCUCUUUUUGCCCUCAAAUUUUUCGCCGCUUGCGAGGUGAAUGCUGAUGGGAAUUUGGAGUUUACCGUCCCGUCCCGGUCCGGUUCGUUCCGUCGUCGGGAAGCUUCUAUAAGACGUUCUGCCCGCUUCCGUAAUCAUCCGGAGAUCGUUUUCCCGCCAUCGGAUCUCGCGGUUUCAAGUUUUUCCGUCCGGCCGAUCUUUGAAGCACAGCAGUAACCUGUCGUCGCUAUCGAUUGCUGUUUAGGACACGUUCUUGGUGAAAAUGAAUAUAUCCCUCGAUCUUCUUGUUUUUCGGAUGGGUCCUUCAUUGACGCUCAGCAGACGUGGGAUUUGGAGAAUAACGUUGUGAAUAUGGAGGUGCUGGAGUCGGACGCCAUUUUAUUUCUACGACAAGGCGUUGCAGACAAAGAACGCAGAAAGAGAAGCCGUGGAACAACGACCCGCAUUACUUCAAGAAGGCGAUUAAAUCUCCGCAUUGGCGCUCCUGAAGAUGGUGGUUCGUGCACGCUUUGGAGGGACGAUCGAGGUAAUGGGGUUGAUGCAGGGUAAGACCGACGGUGAUACCAUAAUCGUCUUGGACGCGUUUGCGCCCCCUGCGGAAGGGACCGGAACUAGGUGAAUGCGCAGGCGGAUGCUUAUGAGUAGAUGGUUGAUUAUUCACAGACGAACAAACUGGCUGGUGAAAAUGUGGUUGGUUGUCUGGAACCCUUCUUGGCAGUUGUGAGCUUGUGAUAGACCCUAUACGGAUCAUCUCUGCUGGGAAAGUAGAGAUUGGUGCAUUUUGAACAUACCCUCAGGGCUACAUACCUCCUAAUGAACCUGUCUCAGACAGAUCCUCUGAACAAAAUUGAAGAUUUUGGACAUCACUGUAAGCAGUAUUAUGCAUUUUAUAUAACAUAUUUUAACUCCUCUCUGGACUCCCAUUUCCUAGGUAUCCUAUGGAACAAGUAGUGGGUGAAUACCCUUUCUUCUUCUCCAUUAUUGGGAAACAGGGAAUACGUUGCAGGACAAAUUUCAGAUCUUGGUGAGUGCCAAAUACCUGUUAAUGUGAUUACUGUGGAUUUUUUCUUCCUAGCUCCUGUGUUACAUGUUUCUGUUGUUCACCUCUUUUUCUUUCUUUUAUGUAGCUAAAUCUUCUUUCUAUAUGCUGGUUUCUCCAAAUUCCUAUUGCAUCAUGGAAUAUUCAUAAUCCAUAACCCUUCUGCACUUUAAUAGUCUGUACAAUGCUCAAAUAUUUUACCUUCAUAAUGCUUAUCUUGGGCCUUGAAAGUAGAGCUUUGUAUCAUUUUACUUUACUCUCUUAUUUAAUGCUGCAAAUAUAGUUACCAACGUAUCCUUUCUUUAAGGCCUUUAUGUCGAACUUUUUGGGGCAUCAUUGUGAUGUAAGUCCUUUAAUGGUUAAUGUAAGUCUAACUUUAUUUGCCUUAUUAUUUUUAAGGGUAAAUUAAUUUUUUAAUGCUUAACAUCAAACGAGAGAUAAAAAUAAAACAACAAACUCUUGCUCUAAAUGUUGAAAUGAACCUUUAUGAAGGACUAAAGAGUCAUUUACACACACACACACAUAUAUAUCAGUGUCACAAAUUUUGUGAUAUUUUCAAAAAUAUCAUGAUACUAAUGGAAAAAAAGAGAUAAACGAAAAAUGUAAAAAAUAAAUUUAUUGUAUUUUUUUGUUUUUCUUCUUUUUUACAGUUAAUUUCGUCAUGGAAUCAAAUUUACACUUAAGUCAAAUUAUUUAUCAUAGUGUAAUGCUCUUGUUUCUUUUUUCCUUUUGUUCUUGUGCGCAUCGGAGAAAUUGGAACAAACAGAGAACCACCUAUCCCAUUCACGGCUAAGAUCUUUUCCUAUAACUCAAAAGGAAAAGGGAGGUCCAGGACGAAUCUGAACUUCCAAGGAUCAGCUGUGACAGUUCAAAAAUAACUGUUGAACAAGUUCAUAACCUCAUGUCACAGGUCAUCAAGAAUGUUCUGUUCAAUUCAGUUCAUAACUCCAUUAGGGCCCUGCAAAGUUCUGAUGUGCUGCUUUUCCCGGAGCUGAAUAUCUUGCAGUCACACAAGCAUCCAUUUUUUUUUGAGAAGUUGCUGCUGUCAGUGAAUGUUUCUAAGAGCAACAAUCAGAAGAACUUUUUAACAGCUUAAUAGUCUAUUGAUGUAAAUUCUGCUCUCUUGUUUGUCCCAAGGUUGAAUUUUGCUGUUGAUCCCUUCUGAUAGAAUGAAGUGGCUGAUUUUUGGUCCUCUACUAUCAAGCUUUGGUGUAUCAUCAUAAUUGGUCUCACUAAAUGUAGUUUUGCGCUUGCCUUGUCCUCUCA
Molecule: long non-coding RNA, 2461 nt
Organism: Nymphaea colorata (pocket water lily)
Lineage: Eukaryota; Viridiplantae; Streptophyta; Magnoliopsida; Nymphaeales; Nymphaeaceae
Exons: 6
Source: RefSeq, a predicted model, not a curated record